This 255-nucleotide ribosomal RNA is filed under the name uncultured bacterium. RNAcentral's name for it is "partial 16S ribosomal RNA". It matches the Rfam family "Bacterial small subunit ribosomal RNA", at positions 524 to 776 of the family's 1533-position model. The record is from RNAcentral.
UACGUAGGUGGCAAGCGUUGUCCGGAAUUAUUGGGCGUAAAGCGCGCGCAGGCGGCCCUCUUAAGUCUGAUGUGAAAGCCCCCGGCUCAACCGGGGGAGGGCCAUUGGAAACUGGGAGGCUUGAGUAUAGGAGAGAAGAGUGGAAUUCCACGUGUAGCGGUGAAAUGCGUAGAGAUGUGGAGGAACACCAGUGGCGAAGGCGACUCUUUGGCCUAUAACUGACGCUGAGGCGCGAAAGCGUGGGGAGCAAACAGG